RNAcentral lists this ribosomal RNA (497 nucleotides) under uncultured bacterium. Its description in RNAcentral is "partial 16S ribosomal RNA". It matches the Rfam family "Bacterial small subunit ribosomal RNA", at positions 28 to 507 of the family's 1533-position model. The record is from RNAcentral.
GAUGAACGCUGGCGGCGUGCCUAAUACAUGCCAGUCGAGCGAACAGACGAGGAGCUUGCUCCUCUGACGUUAGCGGCGGACGGGUGAGUAACACGUGGAUAACCUACCUAUAAGACUGGGAUAACUUCGGGAAACCGGAGCUAAUACCGGAUAACAUGUUGAACCGCAUGGUUCAACAGUGAAAGACGGUCUUGCUGUCACUUAUAGAUGGAUCCGCGCCGCAUUAGCUAGUUGGUAAGGUAACGGCUUACCAAGGCAACGAUGCGUAGCCGACCUGAGAGGGUGAGCGACCACACUGAAUCUGAGACACGGAACAGUCUCCUACGUGAGGGAGCAGGAGGGAAUCUGCCGCAAUGGGCGAAAUCCUGACGGAGCAAUGCCGCGUAGGUGAAGAAGGUCGUCGGGUCGUAAUACUAUGUUAUUAGGGAAGAACAAAUGUGUAAGUAACUAUGCACGUCUUGACGGUACCUAAUCAGAAAGCCACGGCUAACUACGUG